This 497-nucleotide ribosomal RNA is filed under the name uncultured bacterium. RNAcentral's name for it is "partial 16S ribosomal RNA". It matches the Rfam family "Bacterial small subunit ribosomal RNA", at positions 28 to 507 of the family's 1533-position model. The record is from RNAcentral.
GAUGAACGCUGGCGGCGUGCCUAAUACAUGCAAGUCGAGCGAACAGACGAGGAGCUUGCUCCUCUGACGUUAGCGGCGGACGGGUGAGUAACACGUGGAUAACCUACCUAUAAGACUGGGAUAACUUCGGGAAACCGGAGCUAAUACCGGAUAAUAUAUUGAACCGCAUGGUUCAAUAGUGAAAGACGGUUUUGCUGUCACUUAUAGAUGGAUCCGCGCCGCAUUAGCUAGUUGGUAAGGUAACGGCUUACCAAGGCAACGAUGCGUAGCCGACCUGAGAGGGUGAUCGGCCACACUGGAACUGGGACACGGUCCAGACGCCUACGGGAGGCAGCAGUAGGGAAUCUGCCGCAAUGGGCGAAAGCUUGACGGAGCAACGCCGCGUGAGUGAUGAAGGUCUUCGGAUCGUAAAACUCUGUUAUUAGGGAAGAACAAAUGUGUAAGUAACUAUGCACGUCUUGACGGUACCUAAUCAGAAAGCCACGGCUAACUACGUG